UCAGGUAGCUGGUUUAACAUACUCUGAGUUUAAUCCUGCGCUCUGAGUUGGUUGACUCAGAGUUCAGGGUUGAAAAGCAACUCUGGGUUUUCGGUUUCAGAACAGGUGAUCAGCGUUGGCUUAAUCAACUCUGAGUGUGUUCACGCUGGGUUGGGGGCGUGCCUGUUGACUAUAAAGAGCCAUCAUCAAUGGAUCUCUGAUAACAUGAUCAAACAUGGACCAAAAACGUAGAUCCAGUUACUUUUCACCCACGGAAUUGGAAAUAUUAAUGCACGCAUAUGCCGAGCAGGUACCCAUUUUCACCAAAAAAAGUAAUACCGCCGCGGCAGCGAGAGCGCGAGAGAGAGCUUGGCAGGAAAUAGCCGAACAAGUCAAUGCGAACAACCCGAGUUGCCCCAAGAGGACUUGGCAGCAAAUGAAAAUGAAGUACAAAAAUAUAGUUCAAACAGCAAAUCGAAAAAAAGCAGAGGCCCGGAAGACUGGAGGGGGUCCACCACCUGCAGCCCUCACAGAGGCUGAGGAGAU
This is a long non-coding RNA of Pleuronectes platessa (European plaice), 525 nucleotides long. RefSeq lists it as uncharacterized. The transcript has 3 exons. Lineage: Eukaryota; Metazoa; Chordata; Actinopteri; Pleuronectiformes; Pleuronectidae. The record is from RefSeq and is a predicted model, not a curated record.